This 253-nucleotide ribosomal RNA is filed under the name uncultured bacterium. RNAcentral's name for it is "partial 16S ribosomal RNA". It matches the Rfam family "Bacterial small subunit ribosomal RNA", at positions 524 to 776 of the family's 1533-position model. The record is from RNAcentral.
UACAGGGGGGGCAAGCGUUGUUCGGAAUUACUGGGCGUAAAGGGCUCGUAGGCGGCCAACUAAGUCACACGUGAAAUCCCCAGGCUUAACCUGGGAACUGCGUGUGAUACUGGAUGGCUUGAAUUCGGGAGAGGGAUGCAGAAUUCCAGGUGUAGCGGUGAAAUGCGUAGAUAUCUGAAGGAACAUCAGUGGCGAAAGCGACUUCCUGGACCAAUACUGACGCUCAUGUGCGAAAGCGUGGGGAGCAAACAGG